Molecule: transfer RNA, 78 nt
Filed under: Phialophora macrospora
Lineage: Eukaryota; Fungi; Ascomycota; Eurotiomycetes; Chaetothyriales; Herpotrichiellaceae
Description: tRNA-Tyr (ATA) (tRNA-Tyr-ATA-1-1)
Rfam family: tRNA
About the family: Transfer RNA (tRNA) molecules are approximately 80 nucleotides in length. Their secondary structure includes four short double-helical elements and three loops (D, anti-codon, and T loops).
Source: RNAcentral
GACGGUGUGGUGUAGCGGUUCAGCACGUCCUCACCAUAGAUGCAGAGGGAGACCUUGGUUCGAAUCCAAGAGCCGUCG